This 59-nucleotide transfer RNA is filed under the name Rattus norvegicus (Norway rat). It matches the Rfam family "tRNA". Rfam says of the family: Transfer RNA (tRNA) molecules are approximately 80 nucleotides in length. Their secondary structure includes four short double-helical elements and three loops (D, anti-codon, and T loops). Lineage: Eukaryota; Metazoa; Chordata; Mammalia; Rodentia; Muridae. The record is from Rfam by way of RNAcentral.
GGGGAUUUAGCUCAGUGGUAGAGCGCUUGCCUAGCAACCGCAAGGCCCUGGAAACCCCA